RNAcentral lists this ribosomal RNA (168 nucleotides) under Campylobacter jejuni. Its description in RNAcentral is "partial 23S ribosomal RNA". It matches the Rfam family "Bacterial large subunit ribosomal RNA", at positions 1 to 183 of the family's 2925-position model. The record is from RNAcentral. Lineage: Bacteria; Pseudomonadati; Campylobacterota; Epsilonproteobacteria; Campylobacterales; Campylobacteraceae.
AAAGGUAAGCUACUAAGAGCGAAUGGUGGAUGCCUUGACUGGUAAAGGCGAUGAAGGACGUACUAGACUGCGAUAAGCUACGGGGAGCUGUCAAGAAGCUUUGAUCCGUAGAUUUCCGAAUGGGGCAACCCAAUGUAUAGAGAUAUGCAUUACCUAUAUAGGAGCGAA